Molecule: long non-coding RNA, 166 nt
Organism: Populus euphratica (Euphrates poplar)
Lineage: Eukaryota; Viridiplantae; Streptophyta; Magnoliopsida; Malpighiales; Salicaceae
Exons: 3
Source: RefSeq, a predicted model, not a curated record
CAGAACCUGAAGAGAAAGCAAAGGAAAGCAGAAGAAGGAGCAGAGAAGAGGAAGUGGUGUCGGCCAGCCAGAGCUUCGUCACCGUCUCCAUCGCCUCCAGCAGAACUGGUAAGCGACCUCUUCUUCUUGCAUUGUCUUUGUUAAUUAGCAUUUACACUGUGCAAGA